RNAcentral lists this unclassified non-coding RNA (33 nucleotides) under synthetic construct. RNAcentral describes it as "Template RNA (33-MER) from synthetic construct (PDB 5Y6Z, chain B)". The record is from RNAcentral.
GGGAGAUGAAAGUCUCCAGGUCUCUCGUCGAAA